CACAGCCACCAAGUGGUUUAUCAUCAAACCAGUUAUCCAAGUUCCCAACACAGAUCAGCCUAGCUCAAUUACGGCUCCAGCAUAUGCAGCAACAGGUAAUGGCUCAGAGGCAACAGGUGCAACGGAGGCCAGCACCUGUGGGUUUACCAAACCCUAGAAUGCAGGGGCCCAUCCAGCAACCUUCCAUCUCUCAUCAGAAUUUCACUUGUUUAGAAUCAGCUUCUAAAUGUAUUUUUCACUGGGUCUGUAAUUGCUGGCCACUCUUGAAAGUUAAUGAGAGGUAAACCCAGUACCAACUAAUUUUUAAGAGAGAAGCAGUUGACCCAGCAACCCCCUCCACGUUUGAUAAACUUUCAGAAUCACAGCCCCAAACCCAAUGGACCAGUUCUUCCUCCUCAUCCUCAACAACUGAGAUAUCCACCAAACCAGAAUAUACCACGACAAGCAAUAAAGCCCAACCCCCUGCAGAUGGCUUUCUUGGCUCAACAAGCCAUAAAACAGUGGCAGAUCAGCAGUGGACAGGGAACCCCAUCAACUACCAACAGCACAUCCUCUACUCCUUCCAGCCCCACGAUUACUAGUGCAGCAGGAUAUGAUGGAAAGGCUUUUGGUUCACCUAUGAUCGAUUUGAGCUCACCAGUGGGAGGGUCUUAUAAUCUUCCCUCUCUUCCGGAUAUUGACUGUUCAAGUACUAUUAUGCUGGACAAUAUUGUGAGGAAAGAUACUAAUAUAGAUCAUGGCCAGCCAAGACCACCCUCAAACAGAACGGUCCAGUCACCAAAUUCAUCAGUGCCAUCUCCAGGCCUUGCAG
RNAcentral lists this small RNA (811 nucleotides) under Pongo abelii (Sumatran orangutan). RNAcentral's name for it is "processed transcript". Lineage: Eukaryota; Metazoa; Chordata; Mammalia; Primates; Hominidae. The record is from RNAcentral.